ACUAGCAUUUCAAGCUGUGUAAUGUGUGCUCUCUAAACUACUGUGAACACAUUCUUCCAAGCAACUAUUAUUAAUUAAGUCUGGUGACAGGCGCAUAAGGCGACGUCUGCCAAUCACAUCACAACAAGUCAUGCCACGGGGUAAGCGUCGAGCUCCAGAAAUAGGCGAAACCAUGGAUAGUCAAUCAAAAAGAGCCCGAACGAGCUAUACCAGCAUACCGACACAGCACGGCAGGCGCCAUAUCAGAGCUGAAGACAGCUUCAGUCAUAAACGAUGUCUGACAUGGUUCCAGGAAUACACAACUCCCGAUGAGCCAGAGACACUGGGUCCUGACGGAAUGGAAAAGUUCUGCGAAGAUAUAGGAGUGGCGCCGGAAAACAUUGUGAUGCUGGUCCUCGCCUACAAAAUGGGCGCCACCCAGAUGGGCUUCUUCAGCCAGAAGGAAUGGUUGAAGGGCCUCACAGAGCUCGAGUGUGACUCAACAAUGAAAAUGGUUGUGAAACUGGACUAUCUGCGUAGCAUACUCAACGAUGCCAACUCCUUCAAGAGCAUUUACAGAUAUGCCUAUGAUUUCGCCAAGGACUCGGACCAAAGGAGUAUGGACAUCAAUACGGCCAAGGCCAUGUUGGCGUUGCUGCUGGGCAAGCAUUGGCCACUCUAUCCGCAGUUCGCACAGUUUCUAGAGCAGUCAAAGUACAAGGUGAUCAACAAGGAUCAGUGGUGUAACAUACUAGAGUUUUCGCGCACAAUCUGCAUGGACUUGUCUAACUACGAUAUUGACGGCGCAUGGCCGGUCAUGUUGGAUGAGUUCGUAGAGUGGAUGCGCAUGCAGCGGAAUCAGGUCUCCAGCUCGGUAUCCAGCUGAGAGAUGCUGUAUCAAUUCGCCUAUUUCUAGUUCAACUGCUGGAUAUCAAUGAGGAGGAGGAGGAGACAGGAGAGGAGUUCACCAAUUUAAGAUCAGCGGAACUAAGACCCCGUACCCAGCCUGCAUCCCAUAUCCUGUAUCCCUGUAUACGCCCCAUACACGCACUCAAAACGACACUCACUCGCAGAGACACACAAACACACAAGGCAUUUGGAGAGACUGCGUACACUGGCAAAGCAAACCAACUAUGAAACUACACUAUUGAUAUAAUAUUUAAUGAGUCAUUGAAUACAAGAAUACAAGAAAGAACAGCAGAAAAAGCCAAAUUGGGGGCCGCUCGCAAAAAGAAAAACCCACUAAAAAGAAGCGAUGGAAAUAACCGAGAAAACCCCCAACCCCCAAGAAAAACGAAACUUUUCAAGAUAUCUGCACUAUAGUCAAAAUCAACGAAAGUCGACACCAAUCCUGGGCAAAUCGUAAUCGUUAAUAAAUCAAUGUAGGAAGAACACAACUUUUGGGGAAUAUUUAAUAAAUAUGCAUAUUAAGUGAAUACAGUGA
Molecule: RNA transcript, 1423 nt
Organism: Drosophila persimilis
Lineage: Eukaryota; Metazoa; Arthropoda; Insecta; Diptera; Drosophilidae
Gene: SCCRO4
Gene name: DCN1-like protein 4
Exons: 7
Source: RefSeq, a predicted model, not a curated record